Molecule: ribosomal RNA, 262 nt
Filed under: uncultured bacterium
Lineage: Bacteria
Description: partial 16S ribosomal RNA
Rfam family: Bacterial small subunit ribosomal RNA
Source: RNAcentral
GUCCACACUGUAAACGAUGAACCCUAGGUGUGGGGGUGAAUAACCUCCGUGCCGAAGCCAACGCGUUAAGGGUUCCGCCUGGUGACUAUGAGCGCAAGCUUAAAACUCAAAGGAAUUGACGGGGGCCCGCACAAGCAGCGGAGCGUGUGGUUCAAUUCGAUGCUACACGAAGAACCUUACCAGGGUUUGACAUGGAUGUGGUAGGGAAGGGAAACUGGACCGACUCGCAAGAGAGCAUUCACAGGUGAUGCAUGGCUGUCGU